AACUUUCAACAACGGAUCUCUUGGUUCCGGCAUCGAUGAAGAACGCAGCGAAAUGCGAUACGUAAUGUGAAUUGCAAAUUCAGUGAAUCAUCAAGUCUUUGAACGCACAUUGCGCCCCCUGGUUUCCGGGGGGCAUGCCUGUCCGAGCGUCAUU
This 154-nucleotide ribosomal RNA is filed under the name Penicillium expansum. RNAcentral's name for it is "5.8S ribosomal RNA". It matches the Rfam family "5.8S ribosomal RNA". Rfam says of the family: 5.8S ribosomal RNA (5.8S rRNA) is a component of the large subunit of the eukaryotic ribosome. It is transcribed by RNA polymerase I as part of the 45S precursor that also contains 18S and 28S rRNA. Functionally, it is thought that 5.8S rRNA may be involved in ribosome translocation. The record is from RNAcentral. Lineage: Eukaryota; Fungi; Ascomycota; Eurotiomycetes; Eurotiales; Aspergillaceae.